This 253-nucleotide ribosomal RNA is filed under the name uncultured bacterium. Its description in RNAcentral is "partial 16S ribosomal RNA". It matches the Rfam family "Bacterial small subunit ribosomal RNA", at positions 524 to 776 of the family's 1533-position model. The record is from RNAcentral.
UACGAAGGGGGCUAGCGUUGCUCGGAAUCACUGGGCGUAAAGGGCGCGUAGGCGGACUUUUAAGUCGGGGGUGAAAGCCCAGGGCUCAACCCUGGAAUUGCCUUCGAUACUGAGAGUCUUGAGUUCGGAAGAGGUUGGUGGAACUGCGAGUGUAGAGGUGAAAUUCGUAGAUAUUCGCAAGAACACCAGUGGCGAAGGCGGCCAACUGAUCCGAUACUGACGCUGAGGCGCGAAAGCGUGGGGAGCAAACAGG